GACAGGCUAAGACAGGCAGGAAAGAUGUGUGUGGGAUGAGUUAUCCAAACGGGACAUCCAGGACUGAAAAAGUAAGAGGAAAUCAAAUCAGAAAAGCACUAAGGAAACAUGCAAGUAGAAUAUGAACAGAGGAACCUCACAGAAAAGCCUACAAGAGAAAGACAAACUACAGUGUGAUUUCCUGGAAACUUAAUGUUCUUGCUUCUCUCCGCUUCUCUAAGUUGUAGGUAUUCUGCCAAAGCCUGAAAAAGUACAUAAACUUGGUCUCCUGCAAGCAUCUAAUGAGACAUCCACACUGCAAAGGGCGAUCUGGGAUGGAAUGAGGACUGCAAGAAAACAAGAAAGCUUCUUAGAAAAAGUGUUCCCUGGAAGAGCAAAGGAAAACAGGAUAUGAAGAGAUUUCA
Motacilla alba alba is the source of this 404-nucleotide long non-coding RNA. RefSeq lists it as uncharacterized. The record is from RefSeq and is a predicted model, not a curated record. The transcript is spliced from 3 exons. NCBI's taxonomy places the organism in Eukaryota, Metazoa, Chordata, Aves, Passeriformes, Motacillidae.